UCGGUGUGUAUAAAAAUAUUUAGAUUACUCAUAGAAGCAAUUAAGUUUGCGAAUGUACUGUGAGUACUAGAUGUAUUACUUUGAAUAAAAUAGAGUGUUUAAAGCAAAAUCUAACGAUUUAUGAAUAUAUUAGCAUGGGAUAAUGAAGAUAUGUCUCGUGGGUGCGUGAUAUGGAUAUUUUAAUUGGUUUUUAGUCCGGACGGGGUAUGUGAUAGGGUGUCUAAUUGGCAGGUGGUUUCGGCCAGUUGUUGGAUAGAGCAUUCUAUAAUGUAUUCAACAGUUCAAGGUCUAUAAUAAACUAUGCAUAUUGACCACGGGGGUUUGAGCGUCACAACAGUGGCAAUCAAAUAGACAUGGAAUAGAAACAAAUGGGGUGGUUUAUAUUUCAUAGCGAGGGGUGAAAUCCUAUGACCUAUGAAAGAUAAACAAAAGCGAAAGCAUUCCACAAAAAUGUUUUCAUUGAUCAAGAACGAAAGUUGGGGGAUCGAAGACGAUCAGAUACCGUCGUA
RNAcentral lists this ribosomal RNA (509 nucleotides) under Iodamoeba sp. RL1. Its description in RNAcentral is "partial small subunit ribosomal RNA". It matches the Rfam family "Eukaryotic small subunit ribosomal RNA", at positions 677 to 1022 of the family's 1831-position model. Lineage: Eukaryota; Evosea; Mastigamoebida; Endamoebidae. The record is from RNAcentral.